This 252-nucleotide ribosomal RNA is filed under the name uncultured bacterium. RNAcentral describes it as "partial 16S ribosomal RNA". It matches the Rfam family "Archaeal small subunit ribosomal RNA", at positions 474 to 727 of the family's 1478-position model. The record is from RNAcentral.
UACCAGCACCCCGAGUGGUCGGGACGAUUAUUGGGCCUAAAGCAUCCGUAGCCGGUCCUGCAAGUCUUCCGUUAAAUCCAGCUGCUCAACAGAUGGGCUGCGGGGGAUACUACAGGGCUAGGAGGCGGGAGAGGCAAGCGGUACUUUAUGGGUAGGGGUAAAAUCCGUUGAUCCAUAGAAGACCACCAGUGGCGAAGGCGGCUUGCCAGAACGCGCUCGAGGUGAGGGAUGAAAGCUGGGGGAGCAAACCGG